Molecule: long non-coding RNA, 1655 nt
Filed under: Homo sapiens (human)
Lineage: Eukaryota; Metazoa; Chordata; Mammalia; Primates; Hominidae
Description: non-protein coding lnc-FBXO27-3:1
Source: RNAcentral
GCUUUCCCGCCUGCUCCAGCUCCGUCUCCAGCUGCCAGGAUGGAGCCGGGUCGGGACCAUCCGGGAAAGGGGACGCCCUCCCGGACCCCGGCUCACCCUCGGGGGCGCCGGCUGCCCGCACGCGCCUCUCCCGCCACCAGCGCCGCCCCGGUAUUUAUGAGUUCGCGGGUGCCGAGGCCUCUUGCCGCCUACAGCCGUCCCAGCCCCGGAAGAGCCGGUCGCCUCGGGGUGACAGCCUCCCUAGACAGCCAGGGCCCCGGGUCCCACAGGUCCGGCCGGUCCUGCCUGGGCGCCCCACACCCACCCGCCCACCCCACCAGGGCGUGGCGCGGGAAGGGGGACCCAGGAAGGUUAUGAUACGUCUCCGGCGCGCCACCUCUGAGCCGGCCACCAGGUGAGAGCCCAGGCAGGUAACCCUGCGCUCGUCCCUCAGGCGCCCACUCAUCAGCUGGGGAGCCCCAGGGCACGGACACCGGCCCCUAUCCUGGCCCUGCCCGAUCCCCAGGUACCCAGGUGUGCAGGACCGGGGGAUCCCCAACCUUUCCAGCCUCGCUGCAUCUUCCUCCAGCCUUCCGGCUUCCUUCCUUUCCAUGCUGAGCCCACUGACCCCUCCUCAGAAGCCCGGGGCAACCUCAAAACAAAACCAGAAUCCCGGAAUUGCAGUGGGCUUUCUGAGCUGUGCGACCUAGAGACGAAGACUUGCGAUGUUGCCCAGGCUGGUCUCAAACUCCUAGGCUCAAGGGAUCCUUCCACCUUGGCCUCCCAGAGUGCUGAAAUUACAGGCGUGACCCACUGUGCCUGGCCAAGAAUAGUAAGAUGUUAAUGAUAGAAUCCAGUUGGAUAUAUGGCGGAUAUAUGUGUGUUCCUUGUAAAGGUCUUUCAGUUUUCCUGUGCAUUUGAAAAUGUUCAUAAUAAGAUGUUGGGGAAAAUGCUUGGGGACAUCCACGUAGUUGCUGUUGUCGACCUUUAUGGUGAAGCCACAGCAGCAACUGAUUCCCGAGUGAUUGACACGCUGUGUGUUCAUUUAAUGACCCUGACAAUCUUUAAUGCAGACUUUAGAAAUUUUACAGAUGGACCCAUUUUACAGACGAGGAAACUGAGGCUCAGCAAGGCUAAGCACCUUGUCGUGUGACCUACAGGUCACCGACUGGGUGGGGGGCAGACAAGGUGAAUGGUAGAGGGACAGCUCCCUUCCAGAAAGAACGGUAGCAUGCACCUGGGGACAGGGACCAGGGCUAACAGGUCUUGGGGUCCCCCCGGGAAUGAUCCCCGUUAUCGCAGCUUCCCUGUAUGGAGUGCUUGGCUGUGUGCCGAAUGCUCUGCAUGAGUAAUCCCAUUGAUACUGCAUGCUGCUUAUUAAGCCCAUUUUAUAGAUGGAGAAACUGAGGCUAGAGACAUUGAGCAGUUUACCUAAAAUCACACAACUGGUGUGUGGCAGAGAAGCCAGGACUAGAACCCUGGUGUGUCUGAUUUCAAAGCCUGGUGUGUGAAAACUUUUUUUUUUUUUUUUUUGAGACAGAGUUUCGCUCUUGUUGCCCAGGCUGGAGUGAAAUGGCAUGAUCUCGGCUCAAUGCAACCUCCGCCUCCCGGGUUCAAGCGAUUCUCCUGCCUCAGCCUAUGGAGUAGCUGGGAUUACAGGUGCGCACCACCAUGGC